RNAcentral lists this ribosomal RNA (483 nucleotides) under uncultured bacterium. Its description in RNAcentral is "partial 16S ribosomal RNA". It matches the Rfam family "Bacterial small subunit ribosomal RNA", at positions 28 to 523 of the family's 1533-position model. The record is from RNAcentral.
GAUGAACGCUGGCGGCGUGCUUAACACAUGCAAGUCGAACGAUGAAGCCGGAGCUUGCUCUGGUGAAUUAGUGGCGAACGGGUGAGUAACACGUGAGUAACCUGCCCUUGACUCCGGGAUAACUGCGGGAAACUGUAGCUAAUACCGGAUACGAGGCUCGAAGGCAUCUUCGGGUCUGGAAAGAAUUUCGGUCAAGGAUGAGCUCGCGGCCUAUCAGCUUGUUGGUGAGGUAAUGGCUCACCAAGGCGACGACGGGUAGCCGGCCUGAGAGGGUGACCGGCCACACUGGGACUGAGACACGGCCCAGACUCCUACGGGAGGCAGCAGUGGGGAAUAUUGCACAAUGGGCGAAAGCCUGAUGCAGCAACGCCGCGUGGGGGAUGAAGGCCUUCGGGUUGUAAACCUCUUUUAGCAGGGAAGAAGCGAAAGUGACGGUACCUGCAGAAAAAGCACCGGCUAACUACGUGCCAGCCGCCGCAGUAA